AGAAUUUGAUUCUUUUAAUUAUAAGAUCUUUCUGUUACUCCUUGAUGACUACAAGAAGGAACUUAGCCUUUGUCUACGUUUAGAAACUGAUUUGCUGCGUCGUAUUUAUUGGAAACCAGUCAUGCAAACAGUUCGUAUUGACAGUGUUUCAGAAUGAAUUAUACAUUAUAAACACCAUUUCAGAUCUGGGAUCUUUACUUUGGAGCAGACACCACUGCAUAUGAUUCUCUUAAAUGAAAGGUGUUAAUGGGACACACAUCUUCGAGGCGAUGUGAAGCAGUGAUUCCUUGCUGCCCAAAGGAGGAGCUGUGGGUGAGGAUGUUGGGGGCCCGGCCGGCAGAGCCCAUCUGCAGAGCCCCUCCUCGGUGGGUGCACGCAGCUCUUCCCCUCCUGUGACCCAUCCAGCAGCUCUGCACCGAGCGUCAUUUUUCACACCUUACACUGGAGAAAGGCAGAUCCAGAAGAUAAUCACAGCGGUGCAAAAUCUGCUGCUGGAUGUUCUGAAGCCUGAGAACAACUUCUUUAUGAAAACGAAGUCACUCCACUUUAAGGUGCACCACUCAGCUGUCAAUUUUGGUCGUCAGAAGUGGCUCAAAUGUUAACUGGUGCCUGAAAGUCAAGUGUGCCACAGCUGCAGGAUGAGGCGGUGCGGUACCAACUGCUGCAGAAAUGCAAUGCUUGUGCCAGCUUAUGUGUGCUUUUG
Long non-coding RNA from Gallus gallus (chicken), 703 nucleotides. Lineage: Eukaryota; Metazoa; Chordata; Aves; Galliformes; Phasianidae. The record is from Ensembl.